RNAcentral lists this ribosomal RNA (468 nucleotides) under uncultured bacterium. RNAcentral describes it as "partial 16S ribosomal RNA". It matches the Rfam family "Bacterial small subunit ribosomal RNA", at positions 28 to 507 of the family's 1533-position model. The record is from RNAcentral.
GACGAACGCUGGCGGCGUGCUUAACACAUGCAAGUCGAACGGAAAGGCCCUGCUUUUGUGGGGUGCUCGAGUGGCGAACGGGUGAGUAACACGUGGGUAACCUGCCCUUGACUUUGGGAUAACUUCAGGAAACUGGGGCUAAUACCGGAUAGGAGCUCCUGCUGCAUGGUGGGGGUUGGAAAGUUUCGGCGGUUGGGGAUGGACUCGCGGCUUAUCAGCUUGUUGGUGGGGUAGUGGCUUACCAAGGCUUUGACGGGUAGCCGGCCUGAGAGGGUGACCGGCCACAUUGGGACUGAGAUACGGCCCAGACUCCUACGGGAGGCAGCAGUGGGGAAUAUUGCACAAUGGGCGGAAGCCUGAUGCAGCAACGCCGCGUGCGGGAUGACGGCCUUCGGGUUGUAAACCGCUUUCGCCUGUGACGAAGCGUGAGUGACGGAAAUGGGUAAAGAAGCACCGGCUAACUACGUG